Molecule: long non-coding RNA, 1587 nt
Organism: Athalia rosae (coleseed sawfly)
Lineage: Eukaryota; Metazoa; Arthropoda; Insecta; Hymenoptera; Athaliidae
Exons: 2
Source: RefSeq, a predicted model, not a curated record
GUCAGUUUCGUUGUCCACGAACAUGACUGGUUUUUCAUCACAGAUGCACAGAAUAUUACCUCUUUACACGGGUUCACAUUUUAUUAAUAAAAGAUGAAUUUGCAGAACUGCAUUCAUAUCAUCUGUAAAACAGCCUUUAUAGUAAUACAAUAAGAUCUUGUAUAGUGAUUUUCUAAAGAAUCUAAGUGCUAGGCGCCUAAUCAUGAUUACGACAAAAAAUAAUCAGUUUUUUCUGAUGAACCAUGUGAAAUCUUGCAAACGCUUUUUUUCUAAAUCUUGAUAAUGAUAUCAAUAAAUAAAAAACAGAAGGUUUUCUUUCCAGCCCCAAAUUUCACCCCAAGGUUUGGUCUUUCCAACUCUGUUGCCAAAUUUGCGGAUAAAUGUUUCAGAACAUAUACAAGAAUCAUCUGAUUUUAUACCUUAUUGCAAAAAUGGAGAAAAAAUGAUAAACGCAAUAGAAAAGGUAUAUUUGUGUUGAAAGAAAGUAGAUAUAAAUUAAAAGCUACACGUGUUUAUUCUAAAAAAAAUAUUUACAACAAUAAAAACACUGGCUAUACAAAAUCUAUCAGUUAAAUAGAUCAGAUCUUACUUAUGAGAAACUUAGAAAAAACUUAUAUAAUAAAUCUAAACUUAGAACAGUUCUGUGUGGUUGGUCCCAACUUAUGCUAAUUAAUUUCAGACUUUGUACACCCUAAAGCAUAAUUAGUAGUCCUCAAAUAAAAACAAAGAGAAAAAAGCAAAUUAAGAGAAGAUAGAUGGAUUAUUGUAUGAGAAGGGCCUUUUGCGGUUGUAAAAUUAAAGAUUCCAACUGCACAAGGCCUGAACCAAAAAAAGAAACAUUUUUAACAACAAUCAGAAACGGAUAGACAGAUAAAUCAAAGAAGAACGUGGAAAUCAGUUUUCAUCGUGAUUUAAAAUCUCUCAAUGCCGAUGAGAUCAGAUUUUAAAAAUUAAUAAGAAAAAAUAUAAAUCCAGGUAUUAUUGUUGCAUAUAAAAAAAAAAGAAAACAACCGUGAUAUUUAUGUGCUACUACUACUACGCAAAAUCUUGACAGAAAAAAGUAAAAAUUCCAGAUUGCUGACCUGCAUUUAAGGUGUAACAAAGUUAAAAACAUCUGACAUACUGGAAUAGAAUUUUAGUGCAUGUCAAGUGUUUGAUAAUUUGGAUUUAGAAAGUAAUAAAUGCAUCCUCUGGUAUAUCGUUUACCUUAUAGAAACUAGACCUUUACCACCUUUGGGCUACCAGGUAUAUACAAUUGUACACUGCCUUAUUAUUAGUAAUACAUUGUAGCACUCUCUUUUGUAGUUAUUUCGUGACAAUUAUAAUUUCGAAACAAUCAUAUGCAAUGUCUCGAUAUUGUUUCCUAGGUUUUAGGUUUAUAAUCAGUAAAUUUGUACUAAUGGACGUUGCAGGCUACUCUCGCGUAUAAGUUUGUUUUUUUUUCUUCUGAAUUUGCUUAUUUAGAUUUUCGGUAAAAAACCUACGAAAAUAUCUAAUAUGACAAGGAAUCAUUUUAUCGGAAAUAUAUUCAAACUCAGAUCAUAAUAAAAACUUUUGAAAUAUUGCAGACGUUUAUAAUAAACUGAA